RNAcentral lists this transfer RNA (77 nucleotides) under Thermus sp. Its description in RNAcentral is "tRNA-Pro". It matches the Rfam family "tRNA". Rfam says of the family: Transfer RNA (tRNA) molecules are approximately 80 nucleotides in length. Their secondary structure includes four short double-helical elements and three loops (D, anti-codon, and T loops). RNAcentral also lists the same sequence under 1 other name. The record is from RNAcentral. Lineage: Bacteria; Thermotogati; Deinococcota; Deinococci; Thermales; Thermaceae.
CGGGGCGUAGCGCAGGCCGGUAGCGCACCUGCUUUGGGAGCAGGGGGUCGCUGGUUCAAAUCCAGUCGCCCCGACCA